Molecule: long non-coding RNA, 540 nt
Filed under: Sorghum bicolor (sorghum)
Lineage: Eukaryota; Viridiplantae; Streptophyta; Magnoliopsida; Poales; Poaceae
Description: long non-coding RNA (SBIC_LNC013560)
Source: RNAcentral
CUUCAGUAGGAUGCCCUCGAACAUCACGUUGUUCUCCGCCAUCGCGUAGAACGUCUCCGCCCACACCUUCUGCGCCACCUCGAACGUCCGCUCGAUCCCGUGCUCGCCGUCGAGGAGGAUCUCCGGCUCCACGAUCGGCACCAGCCCAUUGUCCUGCAAGAACGAAGGUUGUCAUGCAGGUCAUGCCACGCAUCAUGUAUCGUGUUUUUCUCUCACGAUUAUAAAUCAGUGAACAUAUUACUUUCAACCAUGACUUUUCAGAUAAGCGAACAAUAGCAAAUAAUAAAGCAACCAACCUGUGAGAUGGCGGCGUAGCGAGCGAGGCCCCAGGCGGCCUCCUUGACGGCGAGCUCAGAGGGGCCAUUAGGGAUGCUGACGACGGUGCGCCACUUGGCGAACCGGGCGCCCUGCUGGUAGUAGGCGGCCUCGCGAGAGGCGAGGCCGUCGAGGCCCUGGCACCAGGACUCGUUGUUGGAGCCGGCGAGCGGGACGAGGCCCUUGUCGACCUUGAUCCCGGGCACGAUCCCUUGCUCCACCAGG